GGGGCUAUGGCUCAGUGGUAGAGCAUCUGUUUGGCAUGCAGGAAGACUCAGGUUCAAUCCCCACCACCUCUA
RNAcentral lists this transfer RNA (72 nucleotides) under Sphaerodactylus townsendi. RNAcentral describes it as "tRNA-Ala". It matches the Rfam family "tRNA". From Rfam's summary of the family: Transfer RNA (tRNA) molecules are approximately 80 nucleotides in length. Their secondary structure includes four short double-helical elements and three loops (D, anti-codon, and T loops). Further hydrogen bonds mediate the characteristic L-shaped molecular structure. tRNAs have two regions of fundamental functional importance: the anti-codon, which is responsible for specific mRNA codon recognition, and the 3' end, to which the tRNAs corresponding amino acid is attached (by aminoacyl-tRNA synthetases). tRNAs cope with the degeneracy of the genetic code in two manners: having more than one tRNA (with a specific anti-codon) for a particular amino acid; and 'wobble' base-pairing, i.e. permitting non-standard base-pairing at the 3rd anti-codon position. Lineage: Eukaryota; Metazoa; Chordata; Lepidosauria; Squamata; Sphaerodactylidae. The record is from RNAcentral.